GAUGAACGCUGGCGGCGUGCUUAACACAUGCAAGUCGAACGAAGCAUUUGCGACAGAUUUCUUCGGAUUGAAGUUGCUUAUGGCUGAGUGGCGGACGGGUGAGUAACGCGUGGGUAACCUGCCUCACACAGGGGGAUAGCAGUUGGAAACGGCUGAUAAUACCGCAUAAGCGCACAGUACCGCAUGGUACAGUGUGAAAAACUCCGGUGGUGUGAGAUGGACCCGCGUCUGAUUAGCUAGUUGGUGAGGUAACGGCUCACCAAGGCGACGAUCAGUAGCCGACCUGAGAGGGUGACCGGCCACAUUGGGACUGAGACACGGCCCAGACUCCUACGGGAGGCAGCAGUGGGGAAUAUUGCACAAUGGAGGAAACUCUGAUGCAGCGACGCCGCGUGAGUGAAGAAGUAAUUCGUUAUGUAAAGCUCUAUCAGCAGGGAAGAUAGUGACGGUACCUGACUAAGAAGCUCCGGCUAAAUACGUGCCAGCAGCCGCCGUAA
Molecule: ribosomal RNA, 497 nt
Filed under: uncultured bacterium
Lineage: Bacteria
Description: partial 16S ribosomal RNA
Rfam family: Bacterial small subunit ribosomal RNA
Source: RNAcentral